RNAcentral lists this long non-coding RNA (315 nucleotides) under Mytilus galloprovincialis (Mediterranean mussel). Lineage: Eukaryota; Metazoa; Mollusca; Bivalvia; Mytilida; Mytilidae. The record is from RNAcentral.
AAAAAAACGGAUGUCCAACGUUACAUUUAUGAAAAACUGUUUAAACUCUUAUGUAUAGUGAUCCUAUUUCUCAUUCUCUGAUCUUCUUGAUUCUUGGCAGGAACAACGACAGGUGUCGAUUUUUGUGGCGUUAAAGCCGUUAUUUUACCAAAUUGUAUUUGACUCGGUGGCUGCAUAUUAUGCUGGAAUAGGAAAACUGUCCGACGUUUUUCGUUAACUCAACGACUGAAAGUAGAUAUAGCAGAAAAUGAAUAAAAAGAGUAAGACAAUUAUAAUAAUAUCUAACAAAAGUACAAAUAUUUGCCUCAUGUGAGU